This 421-nucleotide ribosomal RNA is filed under the name uncultured bacterium. RNAcentral describes it as "partial 16S ribosomal RNA". It matches the Rfam family "Bacterial small subunit ribosomal RNA", at positions 360 to 773 of the family's 1533-position model. The record is from RNAcentral.
AAUAUUGGCCAAUGGGGGCAACCCUGAUCCAGCCAUGCCGCUUGUGUGAAGAAGGUCUUCGGAUGGUAAAGCACCUUAAGUUGGGAGGAUGGGCUUUAGGUUAAUACCCUGAAGUUGUGACGUUACCAACAGAAUAACGACUGGCUACCUCUGUGCCAUCAGCCGCGGUAAUACAGAGGGUGCAAGCGUUAAUCGGAAUUACUGGGAGUAAAGCGCGCGUAGGUGGUUCAGUAAGAUGGGUGUGAAAUCCCCGGGAUUAACCUGGGAACUGCUUUCAUAACUGCUGAGCUAGAGUACGGUAGAGGGUAGUGGAAUUUCCUGUGUAGCGGUGAAAUGCGUAGAUAUAGGAAGGAACACCAGUGGCGAAGGCGACUACCUGGACUGAUACUGACACUGAGGUGCGAAAGCGUGGGGAGCAAAC